CCUACGGGAGGCACCAGUGGGUAAUAUUGCACAAUGGGCGCAAGCCUGAUGCAGCCAUGCCGCGUGUAUGAAGAAGGCCUUCGGGUUGUAAAGUACUUUCAGCGGGGAGGAAGGCGAUAAGGUUAAUAACCUUGUCGAUUGACGUUACCCGCAGAAGAAGCACCGGCUAACUCCGUGCCAGCAGCCGCGGUAAUACGGAGGGUGCAAGCGUUAAUCGGAAUUACUGGGCGUAAAGCGCACGCAGGCGGUCUGUCAAGUCGGAUGUGAAAUCCCCGGGCUCAACCUGGGAACUGCAUUAGAAACUGGCAGGCUGGAGUCUUGUAGAGGGGGGUAGAAUUCCAGGUGUAGCGGUGAAAUGCGUAGAGAUCUGGAGGAAUACCGGUGGCGAAGGCGGCCCCCUGGACAAAGGCUGACGCUCAGGUGCGAAAGCGUGGGGAGCAAACAGGAUUAGAUACCCUUGUAGUC
RNAcentral lists this ribosomal RNA (465 nucleotides) under uncultured bacterium. Its description in RNAcentral is "bacterial SSU rRNA". It matches the Rfam family "Bacterial small subunit ribosomal RNA", at positions 338 to 795 of the family's 1533-position model. The record is from RNAcentral.